Molecule: ribosomal RNA, 252 nt
Filed under: uncultured bacterium
Lineage: Bacteria
Description: partial 16S ribosomal RNA
Rfam family: Bacterial small subunit ribosomal RNA
Source: RNAcentral
UACGGAGGAUGCGAGCGUUAUCCGGAUUUAUUGGGUUUAAAGGGUGCGCAGGCGGCACGGCAAGCCGGCGGUCAAAUCGCGGGGCUCAACCCCGCCCAGCCGUCGGAACUGCCGGGCUAGAGUGGGCGAGAAGUGCGCGGAAUGCGUGGUGUAGCGGUAAAAUGCAUAGAUAUCACGCAGAACUCCGAUUGCGAAGGCAGCGCACCGGCGCCCUACUGACGCUCAGGCACGAAAGCGUGGGUAUCGAACAGG